Molecule: transfer RNA, 72 nt
Filed under: Cordyceps cicadae
Lineage: Eukaryota; Fungi; Ascomycota; Sordariomycetes; Hypocreales; Cordycipitaceae
Also listed under: 1 other name
Description: tRNA-Ala
Rfam family: tRNA
About the family: Transfer RNA (tRNA) molecules are approximately 80 nucleotides in length.
Source: RNAcentral
GGGGAUAUAAUUCAGUUGGUAGAAUACUUACUUUGCACGUAAGAAGCCCAGAUUCGAAUUCUGGUAUCUCCA